ACUCCUACGGGAGGCAGCAGUGAGGAAUAUUGCGCAAUGGGCGAAAGCCUGACGCAGCGACGCCGCGUGGGGGAUGAAGGUUUUCGGAUUGUAAACCCCUUUCAUGAGGAAAGAUAAAGUGGGUAACCACUUAGACGGUACCUCAAGAAGAAGCCACGGCUAACUUCGUGCCAGCAGCCGCGGUAAUACGAAGGUGGCAAGCGUUGUUCGGAUUUACUGGGCGUAAAGAGCACGUAGGCGGUUGGGAAAGCCUCUUGGGAAAUCUCCCGGCUUAACCGGGAAAGGUCGAGAGGAACUAUUCAGCUAGAGGACGGGAGA
This 318-nucleotide ribosomal RNA is filed under the name uncultured Nitrospira sp. RNAcentral's name for it is "bacterial SSU rRNA". It matches the Rfam family "Bacterial small subunit ribosomal RNA", at positions 335 to 655 of the family's 1533-position model. Lineage: Bacteria; Pseudomonadati; Nitrospirota; Nitrospiria; Nitrospirales; Nitrospiraceae. The record is from RNAcentral.